GUCUCUUGCUGUCCUUGGAGAGAAGCUGCUGGUGCACUUUCCUCUGCUCCUCCUGCUCCUCGAUCUUCGCCUCCUUGUGGAUCUGCUCGAUGGUUUUGGGGCCCGAGUCAGCUCUCCUCGAGACCCAGUUGUGCUGAAAGAGGAACGAAAAUGAGCGUUACAUCUCAUCAGUUUGAAUGUCAGAAGUUUUCACGUUUAGGAAAGUCUCGAAAUCAACUCAUGUCAUUUAAUUCAUAGACGUAGUUGUGAUAUUAGAGGAUGUUAAUAGCCUCCAGGUGUCAGGUAAGAGACUCUGAUGUAGUCCCUUUGGUUUUGUCUGUUCAGUAGUACUUUCACAUCCUUACAACGUCCCACCACUGUACCAACAUCUGCAAUCUGUUGGAGACGGGAUUGGAGGCCAGCUUCAUUAUGGCGCUGUUGCAGACUCAACAAGUUUGUCUGGAAAUGUGUGUGUCUUUAUAAACCUGCUGGUUAAAGUUAAUGAUCAUCACACAAACAUGUAGCUGCAGGUGCAGGGUCGAAGAUCAAUGAAGUAAACCUCUGUGGGAAAAAUCACUGAGCCAGAACAACUCUGAACACGAGAGAACCAGACUGUGUGGAUAAAAACAAAGUGGACACACUCACCAAUCUCAGGUCUAUAAUGUCCUGCAACAUGAACCGUAUCCGGGAAGACGUCUUCCUCUCUUUGACGAUUUUCUCCAUCUGAUUGAAAUACUGAUCCAUCCGAGGCUGAGGAGAGAGGAGACAGAGAGGUUAGUUUGAGACAUGAAGGUUAUGUUUACCAUCUCUCUGUUCAUUAAUCGACAGGCUGCAGGUUUCAACAUUAUUCCACUGAACUGAACGAUUGUUCAGUUUAUUACUCAGAGCAGGAGAUGUCCACACCGCUGAGGAUUCCACUGAAACAUUCUGAAGCAGAAUAAAACCUCAAACAGAA
This is a long non-coding RNA of Notolabrus celidotus (New Zealand spotty), 934 nucleotides long. RefSeq lists it as uncharacterized. The record is from RefSeq and is a predicted model, not a curated record. Lineage: Eukaryota; Metazoa; Chordata; Actinopteri; Labriformes; Labridae. The transcript is spliced from 3 exons.